RNAcentral lists this transfer RNA (68 nucleotides) under Florometra serratissima (common feather star). Its description in RNAcentral is "tRNA-Gly". It matches the Rfam family "tRNA". Rfam says of the family: Transfer RNA (tRNA) molecules are approximately 80 nucleotides in length. Their secondary structure includes four short double-helical elements and three loops (D, anti-codon, and T loops). The record is from RNAcentral. Lineage: Eukaryota; Metazoa; Echinodermata; Crinoidea; Comatulida; Antedonidae.
AUCUUAUAAGUAUUAAAGUACAUUUGACUUCCAAUUAAAAAGCCUUAGUUUAAAUCUAAGAUAAGAUA